GUUCUCUGCAUCGGGACCUCAAUCUCAAUUGGCUCCGGUGUUGCGACUUUGUUGUGGUUUGACCGAUGGGCCGGGGACAUCCCCUUCGCUGCCCGCUUCCCCAACCUCUUCUCCAUCGCGGUUGACCCCAGGAUUUCCGUCGAGAGUGCCCUUAUUGACUUAUGGCACCUCGCUUUCUAGCGGCCAUUUGGGCCUCCGGAUCUUGCGGCUUGGCAUGAGUUGCUUGAUUGCAUUGCCCUCCACGAGCCUGAUGUGGACUCCGUGUCUGAUCGUAUAGCUUUGCGCUUGGAGCCAUCGGACAUCUUCUCCACCAAGUCCCUCUACCAGGCCAUUGCCCCCUCCACCGCACCUCUUCCUCUUACGGCGGUGUGGGCCAUCCGCCUACCUCUAAAGAUUAGGAUCUUCAUGUGGCAAUGGAUUCGUGGCAGGAUCCUGUCCGACGUGGAGGUCCAUAAGCGAAAUGUUCUAGGUAACAGACUUUGCCCACUUUGCGGCGUUGUUGAAGACUCAAACCACAUUUUCUUCUCCUACGUGUCCGCCCCAUUCCUUUGA
RNAcentral lists this ribosomal RNA (552 nucleotides) under Triticum aestivum (bread wheat). RNAcentral's name for it is "partial small subunit ribosomal RNA". The record is from RNAcentral. Lineage: Eukaryota; Viridiplantae; Streptophyta; Magnoliopsida; Poales; Poaceae.